Unclassified non-coding RNA from Cricetulus griseus (Chinese hamster), 153 nucleotides. Its record names the gene 7SK. It matches the Rfam family "7SK RNA". From Rfam's summary of the family: 7SK was discovered as an abundant small nuclear RNA in the mid-70s but a possible function has only recently been suggested. Two independent studies have found that 7SK RNA binds the CDK9/cyclin T complex (known as elongation factor P-TEFb). NCBI's taxonomy places the organism in Eukaryota, Metazoa, Chordata, Mammalia, Rodentia, Cricetidae. The record is from Ensembl.
UCCCUCCCGAAGCUGCGCGCUCUGUCGAAGAGGACGACCUUCCCCGAAUAGAGGAGGACCGGUCUUCGGUCAAGGGUAUACGAGUAGCUGCGCUCCCCUGCUAGAACCUCCAAACAAGCUCUCAAGCUCCACACUUCUUCAAACCACUGAAAC